GCUUAAAGCAAAGAUUUUUCUGUUCAGUUCCUCCCAAACUGCAGGAGAAAAGAAGAAAGCGGAGCACAUCAUUAUAGCAAUUUUCCAUGUGUUUUGGUUAGAAAUGAACAACAAAAUGUUGUGCAAUAAAACCCUUGGAAGAUGGAAAAUAUGCAAGACUUUGGGAAAGAGUUACAAUUUUCUGGCUUUGAAGAGAUAAAGACCAACACUGAAGAUUUGGUAUGUAUCCAGCAGUGAUAGAGAAGAAUCAGUAUUGUAAUACCAUGGGUUCUUUUAACACUGAACAGAAAUAAAUCUGUACGUUUUGAAUGAAUCAUCUCAGUAU
Molecule: long non-coding RNA, 325 nt
Organism: Chroicocephalus ridibundus (black-headed gull)
Lineage: Eukaryota; Metazoa; Chordata; Aves; Charadriiformes; Laridae
Exons: 3
Source: RefSeq, a predicted model, not a curated record